RNAcentral lists this ribosomal RNA (492 nucleotides) under uncultured bacterium. Its description in RNAcentral is "partial 16S ribosomal RNA". It matches the Rfam family "Bacterial small subunit ribosomal RNA", at positions 29 to 507 of the family's 1533-position model. The record is from RNAcentral.
AGUGAACGCUGGCGGUAGGCCUAACACAUGCAAGUCGAACGGCAGCACAGUAAGAGCUUGCUCUUACGGGUGGCGAGUGGCGGACGGGUGAGGAAUACAUCGGAAUCUACUUUUUCGUAGGGGAUAACGUAGGGAAACUUACGCUAAUACCGCAUACGACCUACGGGUGAAAGCAGGGGAUCUUCGGACCUUGCGCGAUUGAAUGAGCCGAUGUCGGAUUAGCUAGUUGGCGGGGUAAAGGCCCACCAAGGCGACGAUCCGUAGCUGGUCUGAGAGGAUGAUCAGCCACACUGGAACUGAGCCACGGUCCAGACUCCUACGGGAGGCAGCAGUGGGGAAUAUUGGACAAUGGGCGCAAGCCUGAUCCAGCCAUACCGCGUGGGUGAAGAAGGCCUUCGGGUUGUAAAGCCCUUUUGUUGGGAAAGAAAAGCAGCAGGUUAAUACCCCGCUGUCCUGACGGUACCCAAAGAAUAAGCACCGGCUAACUUCGUG